RNAcentral lists this transfer RNA (76 nucleotides) under Marmota monax (woodchuck). Its description in RNAcentral is "tRNA.Ala". Lineage: Eukaryota; Metazoa; Chordata; Mammalia; Rodentia; Sciuridae. The record is from RNAcentral.
GGGGUUAUGUAUAGCUCAGUGGUAGAGUGCUUGCCUAGCAGGUGUGAGACCCUGGGUUUAAUCACCAGUAACACCA